UGGGGAAUUUUGGACAAUGGGGGCAACCCUGAUCCAGCCAUGCCGCGUGAGUGAAGAAGGCCUUCGGGUUGUAAAGCUCUUUCGGCGGGGAAGAAAUGGCAACGGCUAAUAUCCGUUGUUGAUGACGGUACCCGCAUAAGAAGCACCGGCUAA
RNAcentral lists this ribosomal RNA (153 nucleotides) under uncultured Pseudomonadota bacterium. RNAcentral's name for it is "uncultured proteobacterium partial 16S rRNA". It matches the Rfam family "Bacterial small subunit ribosomal RNA", at positions 355 to 500 of the family's 1533-position model. The record is from RNAcentral. Lineage: Bacteria; Pseudomonadati; Pseudomonadota.